AUUGAACGCUGGCGGCAUGCCUUACACAUGCAAGUCGAACGGUAACGCGGGGCAACCUGGCGACGAGUGGCGAACGGGUGAGUAAUGCAUCGGAACGUGCCCAGUAGUGGGGGAUAGCCCGGCGAAAGCCGGAUUAAUACCGCAUACGACCUACGGGUGAAAGCGGGGGAUCGCAAGACCUCGCGCUAUUGGAGCGGCCGAUGUCAGAUUAGGUUGUUGGUGGGGUAAAGGCCUACCAAGCCUGCGAUCUGUAGCUGGUCUGAGAGGACGACCAGCCACACUGGGACUGAGACACGGCCCAGACUCCUACGGGAGGCAGCAGUGGGGAAUUUUGGACAAUGGGCGCAAGCCUGAUCCAGCCAUGCCGCGUGCGGG
RNAcentral lists this ribosomal RNA (375 nucleotides) under uncultured bacterium. RNAcentral describes it as "bacterial SSU rRNA". It matches the Rfam family "Bacterial small subunit ribosomal RNA", at positions 29 to 407 of the family's 1533-position model. The record is from RNAcentral.